Molecule: ribosomal RNA, 218 nt
Filed under: uncultured Glomeromycotina
Lineage: Eukaryota; Fungi; Glomeromycota
Description: partial 18S ribosomal RNA
Rfam family: Eukaryotic small subunit ribosomal RNA (bases 47-218)
Source: RNAcentral
GGAUCAAUGGAUCAGUCAUGCCGUUGGUAUGUACUGGUCACAUUGGUUCUCACCUUCUAAGGAACCAUGAUGUCAUUCAUUUGAUGUUGUGGGGAAUUAGGACUGUUACCUUGAAAAAUUAGAGUGUUUAAAGCAGGCUAACGCUUGAAUACAUUAGCAUGGAAUAAUGAAAUAGGACAUCGCAUUCUAUUUUGUUGGUUUCUAGGAUCGAUGUAAUG